CGACGCCGCGUGAGUGAUGAAGGCCUUCGGGUUGUAAAGCUCUGUGGGGAGAGACGAAAAAGCCGGUUCUAACAGGACUGGUAUUGACGGUAUCUCCUUAGCAAGCACCGGCUAACUCUGUGCCAGCAGCCGCGGUAAGACAGAGGGUGCAAACGUUGCUCGGAAUCACUGGGCGUAAAGGGCGUGUAGGCGGACUUGAAAGUCAGGUGUGAAAUCCCCAGGCUCAACCUGGGAACUGCACUUGAAACUCCUUGUCUUGAGUGUCGGAGAGGAAAGCGGAAUUCCUGGUGUAGAGGUGAAAUUCGUAGAUAUCAGGAGGAACACCGGUGGCGAAGGCGGCUUUCUGGACGACAACUGACGCUGAGACGCGAAAGCGUGGGUAGCAAACAGGAUUAGAUACCCUGGUAGUCCACGCCGUAAACGAUGAACACUAGGUGCUGCGGGUAUUGACCCCUGCGGUGCCGUAGCUAACGCAUUAAGUGUUCCGCCUGGGAAGUACGGUCGCAAGACUA
RNAcentral lists this ribosomal RNA (512 nucleotides) under uncultured Pseudomonadota bacterium. RNAcentral's name for it is "bacterial SSU rRNA". It matches the Rfam family "Bacterial small subunit ribosomal RNA", at positions 392 to 896 of the family's 1533-position model. Lineage: Bacteria; Pseudomonadati; Pseudomonadota. The record is from RNAcentral.